This 60-nucleotide transfer RNA is filed under the name Velia currens. RNAcentral's name for it is "partial tRNA-Leu". Lineage: Eukaryota; Metazoa; Arthropoda; Insecta; Hemiptera; Veliidae. The record is from RNAcentral.
UGGCAGAAACAUAUGCAAUGAAUUUAAGAUUCAUUUAUAAAGAUUUAUCUUUUAUUAGAA